This 820-nucleotide long non-coding RNA is filed under the name Spirodela polyrhiza (greater duckweed). Its description in RNAcentral is "long non-coding RNA (SPOL_LNC000727)". Lineage: Eukaryota; Viridiplantae; Streptophyta; Magnoliopsida; Alismatales; Araceae. The record is from RNAcentral.
CCCCCGGAAACUGCCGCCGCCGCCAACCGCCGCCGGAGAAGGAGCGGACCUCCGCCGCCGGAAUUGCACACCCUCCCACCGCCCGCCGCCGAUCGAUCUUCCCCCUCCUCCUCAGAUCUUCUCCUCCGAGUCGACGACGGUGGAAGGUGAGGGGAUCGGCAGCUGAGAGACGACGACUCCAUCUCCCUGUGUUUUUUUUAUUGUUCUCAGCCCUACGCCAUAGAAAUCCUCGACAUAUUUUUUUAUUUUAAAAAUGACUAAAUUCAACGUAAAUUAAUUGGCCCCUUGCUUUGGAAUCCCUAAAAAAUCCUUCCAUGACAAAAAAGGUUCGAUUCUUAUCCUUUUUCGAACCCAGGCCCCUCGGUUAACCAUGGUUCGGAAUGCUCGGUUAGUCAAAAGAUCCAACGGUCAGGACUAUCCGGAUUUGGCGAUGAUGGAGACUAGUGGGCCAAAGCUUAAGGCGAGUUCGAGAUGGGCCGAAUGGCCAUUAGUGGGCCUGAUAUGUACGAACAUCGAGCGGCCCGCAGCCCGCAGCAUAUAAACAACAGCACCCGUACGAAGAGGGGUACACAGAGACCCCCGUCCGCACUGCGCUCGGCCGGAGCUGAUCGUCCGAUUCCUGAGAGGCGAGAGGAGAUAAUCUCCGCCGUCUGGUUCGUCCGUCUGAAGCCGGGGAGAUGCUCUCUCUCGCUCUAGAGGAGGACGGCAGCCAGGGUGAUCGCCAGCGUGAUGGAGAACACCAGGGCCUGUAUACCCCAGAAGAGUUUUAGCGAGAGAGAGAGAGAGAGAGAGAGAGAGAGAGAGAGAGAGAGAGAGAGAG